UUUACCAUGCAAGUCGGACGGCAGCACAGGGAAGCUUGCUUCUUGGGUGGCGAGUGGCGAACGGGUGAGUAACAUAUCGGAACGUACCGAGCAGUGGGGGAUAACUAAUCGAAAGAUUAGCUAAUACCGCAUAUUUUCUGAGGAAGAAAGCAGGGGACCUUUGGGCCUUGCGCUGUUUGAGCGGCCGAUAUCUGAUUAGCUAGUUGGUGGGGUAAAGGCCUACCAAGGCGACGAUCAGUAGCGGGUCUGAGAGGAUGAUCCGCCACACUGGGACUGAGACACGGCCCAGACUCCUACGGGAGGCAGCAGUGGGGAAUUUUGGACAAUGGGCGCAAGCCUGAUCCAGCCAUGCCGCGUGUCUGAAGAAGGCCUUCGGGUUGUAAAGGACUUCUGUCAGGGAAGAAAAGGGCGGGGUUAAUACCCCUGUCUGAUGACGGUACCUGAAGAAUAAGCACCGGCUAACUACGUGCCAGCAGCCGCGGUAAU
This 486-nucleotide ribosomal RNA is filed under the name uncultured bacterium. RNAcentral describes it as "bacterial SSU rRNA". It matches the Rfam family "Bacterial small subunit ribosomal RNA", at positions 48 to 524 of the family's 1533-position model. The record is from RNAcentral.